Molecule: ribosomal RNA, 235 nt
Filed under: Vibrio cholerae
Lineage: Bacteria; Pseudomonadati; Pseudomonadota; Gammaproteobacteria; Vibrionales; Vibrionaceae
Description: partial 23S ribosomal RNA
Rfam family: Bacterial large subunit ribosomal RNA
Source: RNAcentral
CCCCAAACCGACACAGGUGGUCGGGUAGAGAAUACCAAGGCGCUUGAGAGAACUCGGGUGAAGGAACUAGGCAAAAUGGUACCGUAACUUCGGGAGAAGGUACGCUCUUGAUGGUGAAGUCCCUCGCGGAUGGAGCUGACGAGAGUCGCAGAUACCAGGUGGCUGCAACUGUUUAUUAAAAACACAGCACUGUGCAAAAUCGCAAGAUGACGUAUACGGUGUGACGCCUGCCCGG